CGUACACUCCUGCGGGAGGCAGCAGUGGGGAAUAUUGGACAAUGGGCGCAAGCCUGAUCCAGCCAUGCCGCGUGAGUGAUGAAGGCCCUAGGGUUGUAAAGCUCUUUCACCGGUGAAGAUAAUGACGGUAACCGGAGAAGAAGCCCCGGCUAACUUCGUGCCAGCAGCCGCGGUAAUACGAAGGGGGCUAGCGUUGUUCGGAUUUACUGGGCGUAAAGCGCACGUAGGCGGACUAUUAAGUCAGGGGUGAAAUCCCGGGGCUCAACCCCGGAACUGCCUUUGAUACUGGUAGUCUUGAGUUCGAGAGAGGUGAGUGGAAUUCCGAGUGUAGAGGUGAAAUUCGUAGAUAUUCUGAGGAACACCAGUGGCGAAGGCGGCUCACUGGCUCGAUACUGACGCUGAGGUGCGAAAGCGUGGGGAGCAAACAGGAUUAGAAACCCCAGUAGUCC
RNAcentral lists this ribosomal RNA (449 nucleotides) under uncultured organism. RNAcentral describes it as "partial 16S ribosomal RNA". It matches the Rfam family "Bacterial small subunit ribosomal RNA", at positions 330 to 796 of the family's 1533-position model. The record is from RNAcentral.